GGAGCGGGCCUUGGCUGGAGGCACUGGGUCUGCCGGAACCAGUCCUAGGCAAGCCGAGCCUUCAGUUAUCAUGGGGCGCAAGUUGGAUCCUACGAAGAAGGAGAAGCGUGGGCCCGGCCGAAAGGCUCGAAAGCAGAAGGGUGCAGAGACCGAACUGAUCAGAUUUUUGCCUGCAGCUGGUGAUGAGAAUUUCAAGAGGCUGUCCAGUCGUGCUCGGAAGAGGGCGGCCAAGAGGAGGUCAGGGUCUGUUGAAGUCCCUAAGCCAAAUAAGUCUCCUGGGAUCAAAACAUUGCCUGGAGAGUUACCCAAAGGAGCAGUCCAGGUUCGAGGUAAGAAGCGUCCAGCACCAAUUCAAAACAGUGAUGGGGAUGAGGAGGAAGACUCUGAGGAAGAAGAUGUGGUGACCCAGGGGGAACUUUGGGGCUCUGAAGACAGUAGUGAAGAUAUGGUGGACGACUAUGGAGCGGACUCGGAGGAUGAGGAGGAAAAGGUG
Molecule: long non-coding RNA, 493 nt
Filed under: Rattus norvegicus (Norway rat)
Lineage: Eukaryota; Metazoa; Chordata; Mammalia; Rodentia; Muridae
Description: long non-coding RNA NONRATT020910
Source: RNAcentral